Molecule: unclassified non-coding RNA, 361 nt
Filed under: soil metagenome
Description: partial contains 5.8S ribosomal RNA, internal transcribed spacer 2, and large subunit ribosomal RNA
Rfam family: 5.8S ribosomal RNA (bases 1-120)
Source: RNAcentral
GAUGAAGAACGUAGCGAAAUGCGAUAAGUAAUGUGAAUUGCAGAAUUUAGUGAAUCAUCGAAUCUUUGAACGCACAUUGCGCCCCUUGGUAUUCCGAGGGGCAUGCCUGUUCGAGCGUCAUAACACCCCCUCCAGCUGCCUUUGUGUGGCUGCGGUGUUGGGGCACGUCGCGAUGCGGCGGCCCUUAAAGACAGUGGCGGUCCCGGCGUGGGCUCUACGCGUAGUCACUUGCUUCUCGCGACAGAGUGACGACGGUGGCUUGCCAGAACACCCCUCUUUUGCUCCAGUCACAUGGAUCACAGGUUGACCUCGAAUCAGGUAGGAAUACCCGCUGAACUUCAGCAUAUCAAUAAGCGGAGGA